GACGAACGCUGGCGGCGUGCUUAACACAUGCAAGUCGAACGGAAAGGCCCUGCUUUUGUGGGGUGCUCGAGUGGCGAACGGGUGAGUAACACGUGAGUAACCUGCCCUUGACUUUGGGAUAACUUCAGGAAACUGGGGCUAAUACCGGAUAGGAGCUCCUGCUGCAUGGUGGGGGUUGGAAAGUUUCGGCGGUUGGGGAUGGACUCGCGGCUUAUCAGCUUGUUGGUGGGGUAGUGGCUUACCAAGGCUUUGACGGGUAGCCGGCCUGAGAGGGUGACCGGCGAUAUUGGGACCGAGGUACGGCCCAGACUCCUACGGGAGGCAGCAGGGGGGAAUAUUGCACAAGGGGCGGAAGCCUGAUGAAGAAACGCCGCGGGCGGGAUGACGGCCUUAGGGUUGUAAAACGCUUUCGCAUGUGACGAAGCGUGAGUGACGGUAAUGGGUAAAGAAGCACCGGCUAACUACGUGC
RNAcentral lists this ribosomal RNA (469 nucleotides) under uncultured bacterium. RNAcentral describes it as "partial 16S ribosomal RNA". It matches the Rfam family "Bacterial small subunit ribosomal RNA", at positions 28 to 508 of the family's 1533-position model. The record is from RNAcentral.